This 5501-nucleotide ribosomal RNA is filed under the name Triticum aestivum (bread wheat). RNAcentral's name for it is "partial small subunit ribosomal RNA". Lineage: Eukaryota; Viridiplantae; Streptophyta; Magnoliopsida; Poales; Poaceae. The record is from RNAcentral.
GUUCUUAAACUAUGUUUUUUAUUGUAUUUGCAAUGUCUUCAACAGGUAGACUUGAAGUUUUCGGUGCGUGAUGUACUAAAUAAAGAUUAGAUUCGAGAUGUGAUUCCUCUAACAACACUGGGGUCGGUACUUUCAGAAGUGGGCAGCUGCGUUUUCUUUUGUACCCAAUUAGGAGUUAACGUAGUUUGGACGUGUUUUUACACAGUCGCGGGGGCUGUUACCCCUCGGUGUUCCGGUGCGACAGGUGUGAGCGGUCCGACGUGGGUCCGGGUGAGCAGGGACUGUCGGGUUGGGUUCCCAGGUACCCGGUCUUACCUGGUUGACUUCGUGGUCGUUGUUGAUGAUUUCCUUCGCAGUUGCUCUCCUCCCCAUAGAUCACCUAGUUCCAUCGUCGCCGAGCCGAGAAUAGGGGAGGGGUAAAGAAGGAGAGGCGCUACUUGGGAUCGAGCGUUAAGAACAUUGGACGGAGACAUUAGCGGUGGAUAUAAAGAUAACUAGCUCUCAUGCUCAUCUAGGAUAGUAGAUCAUAGGCUCUGGUCGGGAGUAGGGAAGGUGAGGUGAGACCUGUUGGAGUAACUUUGGGAGCGCACGCCGUUCGUGCAAGGCACGAGCGCCGGUACCUAGGCAGUUAGAUCCAUAAGUAGCUGACAGAGCUGUGGUUGUACUUCCGGGUCAGGUUUAUUAGCAACUCUAUGUUGAGGGUUGCUGGUUCUAGCUGCUCGAGUAACGUACCGCCGGGCUAGACCUCUUUGCCCAACGGCUAGACCCACUACGCCACCGUCGUGAAGUUACCCGCGUCGGCGGCAGCUGGUACCUCUUGCGCCUCUGCGCCCGCUGGCGUGGUGAGGUGCGAGGUGGGCGCUGCUAACUGCGGGUGUGCCUCCGACCUAGACCGCGCUAGCUACGAGGUGUUCCCGGUCACUCGGUGCUGGACGAAGUAGACGGUGUCCCCAGACACCGUCGCAGUAAGAUCUGGGGUGGCGAUGGGGGCCAUUGCCCAAUCAUGUUACGGAACUGUCGUAGAGGAAGAAGGGACAGAGGCAAACGUGUGCGGUCAGUUGAGGAGAAACCCGACCCUGUCUGUGUGGGCAGGUAGAGCAAAGGCGUCAAGUGCCCACUGUUGGUCUUAGACACCUUUUGUGAUACACUCGUUAUAAAAGUUUACAAACCCUAGAGUGUCAGGAAAACCAACGGCUACCGACGAGACUUGAAAAGUCCAAGUCGGAGCCACACCAACAUCAGUUAGGUUUUUGCUGAAAGUCUAAAGUGGACCCUUAGAAAGCGAUCAAAUGAGACAUGAGCAAAACCCGCACUAGCCGUGGUUUGCGGCUAAGCUAUCAAGAUGUGAUAGGCGGUUUGAAGAUGUAAGUGAUCAAUGUAACUUGUUAAACUCAACUAAUAUUUAGUAGAGAGUAGAAUAAGCCUAUGAUAAGUGGGUAAGAUAAAAACUGUGCAAAACACCUCCCGAACGCCUUCCUAUAAGCACGCCACCACGAGCAUGUCGCUGGCGGGCUAGACCUAUACCGGACACGGUACCGCAACGACGUUCUCCUUCACCGCCUGCCCCGCAAACCGUGAGACGGAGCCGGUGGGCUACGUUGCGGUUUCGGCCCGCGUGGCUAUGGAGAAGGCAACGGGAGCCGCGCGUGCCAUGGGCGCUGGCUAGUAGCGCCGUGACUGCGGAGGGCACGGCUCCCCAGGUUUGACUUCUGUGAGGCCCUAAUGUCCGCGCGAGCUCCGGAAACGAAGUUCACGUCGUUCUCCACCCCCGUGCUAGCGUGUACGGGGUGAAGACACUUCGAUGUACAGCAGCUCCUCGACGAGCUGAAUAAGCCGGAGCUGUUGCGGUAGCUGUGCGUUCAGGGUUGUGGUAUGGUCCGACUACUGAGACAGUACCGGUAGACGGACAGCCGCCAGUGUCCUCCCCACAGUGGCUUCCGCAAGGUCGAAGCUCGUACCUAGGUUCCUGUGCUUCAAGAAGAGGGCCCCCUGAGGCCGUCGAGGUUAAGCAAGCAGCUGCUCACAGACCGACGUUGUGAGUGGCCGUAGGUUGGAGACGGUUCUGGGCCGGCGCAGGCGCAGCGCCUACCAUCGCUCGAGUGGACGAGGCGGAAGCAGGGGUUGUAGAGGACCAUAAGGCUUCCGGUCCUCAAGAAGUGGCUGAACUUCCACGAGCUCAACCCAUGGAUGCUACGGUAGAACCCGUACCUGACCGAGCUCCUCGUGUCAGGGUACCAGCAGCUGACCGCGCGAGCGAAGUAGCUCUAGGGAUGUGAUCGACCGGGUGAGGCGGACCAGCCGGUGCUGCGUAGACGUUGUUGGAUGCUCAGGUAGUUGUGUUAAGUCGUCGUCCCCGAGACGUCGGCCCCACGGUAGAACGUACACCACGUAGACACGUACCGGCGCGGACGCGUCCGUCGAUGUUGAGGUUAAGGACCAACGUAGGUCGCGCAGGAACUACUCAAGGGUCUACUAAAGUAACUCGGUUGUCCGGAAGGAGGGACCGCACGAACGUUAGUAUCCUAUGGAGAAUAGGGACCUCGAGUCGGCCACUUGUAUGCCAGCAUAGAAGUAUUUGGUCUUGUGUUCUACUUCUAGCUUUGAGUUCACCUUCUUGAUGACUUUAGUCCCCAGUAGGUCGCUUCGUGGUCGGGGAAAAGAAGUGGCCAGUAAGACCAGUUUUUCUUCCUGCUGUGUACCGCUGAAACAUAUCUAAUGUACGUCGAGUUACGUGAAUGUCAUCACGGGUUCAUAGGGCACGGAUAGUAGCUUCUUGAAAACCUGCUUGAAGUACCGCGUUUUACCAAAAGGUUUGACCUGGAGGCACGCCCGAUGGUGGUUUAGGCAGACCGUGGACCCCUCCUCAUAUUCUGGCACAAGGUUUGCGUGGUUCCUGUGAAACUCAAGUGUCAACACAGUAAGCCCGAACGUCCACGUGGUCGGUGAAAGAACCCUCGACACUGGUGUUGUGAGUUUGGUCAAUUGGCGCAGACGCACCACAGGAAGAAGCUGUUGUAGGACCAAAAGUCGAAGAGUGACCUCCUUGUGCGACUUGUAGACGGGUUCACGAUCGCGACGACUCCUUCCUAACGACCUUCCGAUUUUACUCGUUCACAAAAACCAGUUGUCGUCUAUAGUAUGGACCCAGUGUGGUAGUCGCGGGUACCGCACAGGUGACUGGGUAGGUUUUAGCGUCGGCACUUCCUGACCGUUCGUGGUAGACUACAGUUUCCUCAGGCGUCAAAGAACCCCGAGCGUCCAAUGAUAUCCGUGAAGUAGUCUUUGAAACCACAAUAACGUGCGGGGAACAAGUUAGACGAGUUCUUCCCUCAUGGACAGGUUACCUGCAGGUGUUGUCUUUGUAGUAAGGUUCAGGAUUGUGUAGUUGAAUAGAGACGUGGCCAGAACCGCGACGGUCUAAAGUUUGUCGGUAAGCAGUAACUUUGACUGCGAUCGCUGGCGCCGUAGCCCCGUUAAAACAUUGUCGUUCCCGUGGGGUAACGUAAGUACUCGUUCCACGAGUCGGGCGCCAUAUUUCCGGAAAGUUGGAUACUCUUUCUUAUGGAGCGGUAUCAACAUCGCCACCUAGUUACCGUAGGGAUGGAGGUUGUACGACUCAAGUAUUAAGAGUGACUAGUCUUCUCAAAUUAAGCGGACCUUCUCGUUUCCGAUUGGUGAGGUACCGUCGUCUUCCGGAAAUGGUUCGAGGAGCCGGAAGCGAUGGCUUAGUCUAUGUUCUUUCCACAGCUCUUGUGUCCCCGUCUACGAGAUAGUUCCCGGUUGGGUUAACUAAAGGAUUUGUCGUAGUGAAGAACACAUGGGCGAACCGAGCUUCUGCAGCAGUUGUCGAUGUUGUUGUUGGGUGUACGGUGAGCGGAGGACCUUGUCAACAGUGAAGUCGUUCUGGGCUUCCCGGCAAAAAGAGAACUUUUUCCUGAGUAAGCAAAAGCAGCAUCUUAAACCGACCCUCCUCCGUACGUCUAUGCUGUUGCGUAGUAAACAUGAAAGGUGCUGUAGGACUACCUCCCCGUGAGGCUUAAAGGUCACUGAAUAGUAGCGUAGGCCGCAAACAAACGCACCGGUUUCUACUUCUGCGUGUAGGAGGUUAUGCACGCGACGACAGUCUAUACAGUCGUCCGGUUUGGUCUGACCCGACGAAGAGGCCCAGAUGAGGUCGGUGACGCACACGGGUCAGUCGGCACCCUCUACUAGAGAUACCUAAAGCGGCUGCCGGAUAGAGUCAGGUCGUUUAAGUUAACGGAAGACCAGUAGCAGCUGUUCGCAUGGUUCAAACGGAUAAAAGACGGAGAACGAGUGGGAAUGUGCCGUCGCAGUCAGUGCGUCGAUAUGAAUGUGGUUCAGAUGUUCUAGGUAACGGAUGGUCGUCGAUAACACAAACUGUCUCUGGGCCACAAAUGAUCAGUGAAAACCGUUCUUGAGAAGUUUCCCCGUCCCUGUCUCAAUUCUAACUCGUGAAGUUUGGUAGGAGUCUGCCUGCCCGUUUGCCUCUCCCAAUUGGUCACGCACCUUUGUAAGGACGCGACUAAGUGUGUUCGUACGGACGCUACGACCUCAAAAAACUAUGGAAACCAUGUCAAGACCAUGUUGUUACGUGUGGUGAGCCGGUAGCUGUACUGCGGCAAGUUUAGGUACAAGCCGAUACUUGGAGCAGUAACCCCUCAGUGUCGUCUUCCAAAAGUUUCACCCACUGUUCCAGAAGGAGUUCGACGUUGGUAUGUUCUCGUUUAGUGUUCGACCGGAUGUUCAAGAUGUCCGGGAAAGGGUAGUAACUGUUCUAGUUGCUUCACCACAUGUUUGAAGUUGAAGGGGGUGUUCGUUGCCAGGUAGGCCACAAGGUGUAAAGCGACGAAGCUGUUCGAGAGGAAGGUCCAUACUGACAACUUGGAGUAGAAAGAGUAACAAACCUACUAGAUCGAAACGGCCUACGUUAAGAGGUCUGGGCAACCGCGUUGUUGUUUCUGCCGCAGGUUCUCGUUAACUUCUAUGUUACCAGUCGAUGAAGGUUGGACCCGUAGUGAACCCUUCUAUUUCGGUUGAACUACCGGGCCAAAGGUGUACUCCUCCGAACCCCCGUUCGGAGAAGGGUUCCUCCUCCCCUACAGUCGCGGGGGCUGUUACCCCUGGGUGUUCCGGUACGGCAGGUGUGAGCGGUCCGACGUGGAUCCGGGUGAGCUGGAGCUAUCGGGUUGGAUUCCCAGGUACCCGGUCUUACCUGAUUGACUUCGCGGUCGUCGUUGAUGAUUUCCUUCGCAGUUGCUCUCCUCCCCAUAGGUCACCUAGUUCCGUCGCCGCCGAGCCGAGAAUAGGGGAGGGGUAAAGAAGGAGAGGUACUGCUUGGGAUCGAGCGUUAGAACAUUGGACGGAGACAUUAGUGGUGAUAUAACGAUAACUAGCUCUCAUACUCAUCUAGGAUAGUUUUACUUCAGUCCUUGUUAUCGACCAACAUUCAUGUCCAAGAUUAUCACUCUUAAGACCGUUCU